CCGCCAUAGCUUCAAAAAAAAUGGCUCAAAAUGGGAGGUACAAGAAGAGCUGCUGUCCAAAGAAACCAUGAUCGCCCGCCUUAGCUUUAACAAAAAUGGCUCAAAAUGGGAGGCACAAGAAGAGCUGUUGUCCAAAGUAACCCUGACUUUGCAGAGAAAUUAGGGAUUCGAGGUCCCGCACAUAUUAGAGAUGGAAAUGUUGUUAUAAUACAGAGUGUAAUAUAGGUUCUACAGAAAAAAAAAUCUUAAAUAUUAAUUUGUUCGAGUGCAUUGUACAUAUGAAUUGUUUGUGCUCAUAAUGAUUUGGUACUAAAUUUAUGCAGAAACAGGAAAGGGAGAGCAAGAUAUUUGCAUCUAAACACAGUCAAAGUCAGUAGAAAUGAGAAGAAAGGGAGAUCAAGUCUUUGUAUCUGAAAACAAUAAGAAUUGCAUAAAAUAAAACAUAUUAGAGAUGGAAAUGUUGUUAUAUUACAGAGUGUAGAUAUAAGUUCUAAAGAAAAAAAAUCUUAAAUAUUAAUUUGUUUGAGUGUAUUGUACAUAUGAAUUGUUUGUGCUUGUUUGUGCUCAUACUGAUUUGGUACUAAAUUUAUGCAAAAACAGGAAAGGGAGAGCAAGAUAUUUGCAUCUAAACACAAUCAAAAUCAGCAUAAAUGAAAAGAAAGGGAGAUCAAGACUUUGUAUCCGAAAACAAUAAGAAUUAGAAGAAGUUUACCGAUUAGAAGUGUCCCAAACGACAGGCCUCUACUGAUCACAAAGCAACGGACAUGUUAAUUGAAGAUUUCUACAAGAACAUUAGAAAUCAUCAUUUAAUGAAUUCGAAUUGCUAUCUUUCUCUAUGUGCUUACUCCAAAUCAGGAGCAACGUCCAUGAUGGUCCGCCAUAGCUUCAAAAAAAUGGCUCAAAAUGGGAGGCACAAGAAGAGCUGCUAUCCAAAAACAUGAUUGCCCGCCAUAGCUUCAAAAAAAUGGCUCAAAAUGGGAGGCGCAAGAAGAGCUGUUGUCCAAAAAAACCUUGGUUUUGCAUAGAAAUUAGGGAUUCAAGGUCCCGUACUUUCUCUCUCUCGGCUUCCUC
Molecule: long non-coding RNA, 1071 nt
Filed under: Amborella trichopoda
Lineage: Eukaryota; Viridiplantae; Streptophyta; Magnoliopsida; Amborellales; Amborellaceae
Description: long non-coding RNA (ATRI_LNC004182)
Source: RNAcentral